GACGAACGCUGGCGGCGUGCUUAACACAUGCAAGUCGAACGGAAAGGCCCUGCUUGCUGGGUGCUCGAUUGGCGAACGGGUGAGUAACACGUUUGGGAUCUGACCCUUACUUUGGGAUAAGUCUGGGAAACUGGGUCUAAUACUGGAUAGGACCAUGCUGUAGGUUGUGUGGUGGAAAGAUUAGUUUCGGUGAGGGGUGAGCUCGCGGCCUAGAGGGUGGUUGGUGAGUUAAUGGCCUAGCAGGGCGUCGACGGGUAGCCGGCCAGAUGGGCUGGAAGGCCACAUUGCGACUGAGGGACUGCCCAGACUCCUACACGCGGCAGCGGUGGAGAAGAUUGGACUAUUGGCGCAAGGGUGAUAGAGCGACGCAGCGAUGCCGAGGACGGCCUUCAGGUUGUAGGCUCCUUACAGCCAUGACGAAGCCCUUGUGGUGACGGUAGCGGGAGAAGAAGCACCGGCUAACUACGUG
This 469-nucleotide ribosomal RNA is filed under the name uncultured bacterium. RNAcentral describes it as "partial 16S ribosomal RNA". It matches the Rfam family "Bacterial small subunit ribosomal RNA", at positions 28 to 507 of the family's 1533-position model. The record is from RNAcentral.